RNAcentral lists this ribosomal RNA (505 nucleotides) under uncultured bacterium. RNAcentral describes it as "partial 16S ribosomal RNA". It matches the Rfam family "Bacterial small subunit ribosomal RNA", at positions 28 to 507 of the family's 1533-position model. The record is from RNAcentral.
GACGAACGCUGGCGGCGUGCCUAAUACAUGCAAGUAGAACGCACAGUUUAUACCGUAGCUUGCUACACCAUAAACUGUGAGUUGCGAACGGGUGAGUAACGCGUAGGUAACCUGCCUGGUAGCGGGGGAUAACUAUUGGAAACGAUAGCUAAUACCGCAUAAUAUUAAUUAUUGCAUGAUAAUUGAUUGAAAGAUGCAAUUGCAUCACUACCAGAUGGACCUGCGUUGUAUUAGCUAGUAGGUGAGGUAACGGCUCACCUAGGCGACGAUACAUAGCCGACCUGAGAGGGUGAUCGGCCACACUGGGACUGAGACACGGCCCAGACUCCUACGGGAGGCAGCAGUAGGGAAUCUUCGGCAAUGGACGAAAGUCUGACCGAGCAACGCCGCGUGAGUGAAGAAGGUUGUCGGAUCGUAAAGCUCGGUUGUAAGAGAAGAACGGGUGUGAGAGUGGAAAGUUCACACUGUGACGGUAGCUUACCAGAAAGGGACGGCUAACUACGUG